AACCAUCUAAUGGUGAAACUGCGAACGGCUCAUUACAACAGUUAAAAUCAGCGUGAAGCUUACUGAGUGGAUACUUUCAGUAAUUCUGGAGCUAAUACAUGUUCGCACGGGCAACCGUGUCAUUUAUUAGAAUCACCAACCGCUUCGGCGUGUAGUGAUGACUCUGAAUAUCUCGCAGACCGCAUGCGAAAGCGGCGGCGAUUCACGUAAUUAACUGCCCUAUCAACUUUUGAUGGUAGUUUCGUUGUCUACCAUGGUGAUAACGGGUAACGGAGGAUAAGGGUUUGACUCCGGAGAGGAUGCCUUAGAAACGGCAACCACAUCUAAGGAAGGCAGCAGGCGCGCAAAUUACCCACUCUCAAUUCGAGGAGGUAGUGACAACAACUAACGAGACUGCGUCCUAUGGGCGCAGUCAUCGAAAUGGGUACAAUUUAAACCCUUUAACGAGGAUCUAUGAGAGGGCAAGUCUGGUGCCAGCAGCCGCGGUAAUUCCAGCU
RNAcentral lists this ribosomal RNA (497 nucleotides) under Nematoda environmental sample. RNAcentral describes it as "SSU rRNA". It matches the Rfam family "Eukaryotic small subunit ribosomal RNA", at positions 68 to 590 of the family's 1831-position model. Lineage: Eukaryota; Metazoa; Nematoda. The record is from RNAcentral.